UAGGGAAUCUUGCACAAUGGGCGCAAGCCUGAUGCAGCAACGCCGCGUGCGCGAUGAAGGCCUUCGGGUCGUAAAGCGCUUUUCUGGAGGACGAGAAGGGACGGUACUCCAGGAAGAAGGCUCGGCUAACUACGUGCCAGCAGCCGCGGUAAAACGUAGGAGCCUAGCGUUAUCCGAAUUUACUGGGCGUAAAGCGCGUGCAGGCGGCUUGGUAAGUUGGCUGUGAAAUCUCCCGGCUCAACUGGGAGGGGACGGUCAAGACUGCCAGGCUGGAGGCAGGGAGAGGGAGGUGGAAUUCCCGGUGUAGUGGUGAAAUGCGUAGAGAUCGGGAGGAACACCUGUGGCGAAAGCGGCCUCCUGGCCCUGACCUGACGCUGAGACGCGAAAGCUAGGGGAGCGAACGGGAUUAGAAACCCCGGUAGUCCUAGCCGUAAACGAUGUCGACUGGGCGGCGGUGGGUAAAGCCAUCGGUGCCGCAGCUAACGCGCUAAGUCGACCG
Molecule: ribosomal RNA, 499 nt
Filed under: uncultured Chloroflexota bacterium
Lineage: Bacteria; Bacillati; Chloroflexota
Description: bacterial SSU rRNA
Rfam family: Bacterial small subunit ribosomal RNA
Source: RNAcentral